RNAcentral lists this transfer RNA (65 nucleotides) under Dipodomys ordii (Ord's kangaroo rat). It matches the Rfam family "tRNA". Rfam says of the family: Transfer RNA (tRNA) molecules are approximately 80 nucleotides in length. Their secondary structure includes four short double-helical elements and three loops (D, anti-codon, and T loops). Lineage: Eukaryota; Metazoa; Chordata; Mammalia; Rodentia; Heteromyidae. The record is from Rfam by way of RNAcentral.
GGUGGCCUAGUGGUAGAGCGCAUGCCUAGCACGCAUGAAGCCCUAGGUUCCAUUCCUCAGCACCA